Cyanistes caeruleus (blue tit) is the source of this 1771-nucleotide long non-coding RNA. RefSeq lists it as uncharacterized. The record is from RefSeq and is a predicted model, not a curated record. Lineage: Eukaryota; Metazoa; Chordata; Aves; Passeriformes; Paridae.
CUGGGAUAAGGUGUUCUCAUUUUCCCCGUCCUCUCCCGGCCCGCAUCCUGCCCUCUGGAAACUGGCAGUGCGGCUCGUGCUGAGGCAGGGCUGUGGAAGCGGUCCGCAGCAAUGCCCGGUGCGGUCCCUUGGCGGCCAGUGCUGGUCAGGGCCAGCACGAAAGCACCACCACCUUAAAUGCCGCCCAGCGCUGAGCAGGCGCUGCCUCCCUCCAGUGCCCUGCGGUCACGGCGCUCCCGACUCGUAGUUUUCAUUCCCGUCUCGAUAAAUCCCGAGGACCUCAGAUGAGAACAACAGAGGCUUUAAGUCAUAAACAAGCUUUUCUUGGACCUUCGGCUGACAGCUGUGCUCGGCGGCAGCAGAUCGCGAGGAGCAAAACGCAGAGCUUUGCUCCCCAUCUCAAAUUCCGUAUCCUGCUCCCUUCCAUGCCUGUGACUCCACUGACCUUCCCUGUGGAGCUGCCUGCUGCGGGGACAGCCCCGUCCUGAGCCCUGGAGUGCAGCUCUGAAAAGGCAGGGUUCAUUUGGUCAUGUCCUACUUCUGGGACAGGAACAGGCCGUGGCAUUGUUUACUAAUUAUGGAGCGUUUGGAAGCUGCUCAUCUUUACUUUCCCGUUUUAAAGCAUGAAUGCAGCUCUUCCAUGCUUUUACAGCUGUGGAUACUGUGUGUGAAUACUCUUUUCAGAAACAAAUGAGCAUUGUGCAAAAAUGCCAGGCCAGCAUUUUGAGCAAGAUGAAAAGAGCACAUAUGGAGUGGGGGCACGGAACACUGUCAAUGGAACUAAAUGGAACACCGUAGGAGCUAAACUCUAGAAGAUGACAGUACGAGGCAAAGAAAAUGUUAGCACCUGUGGGAUAUCAGGAGAGAGAAUGAGAGAGAAAAAACCCAAUGCAAUUAUCACCUGUGGUCAGUGAGGUGUAACAAGAGCUGGACUGUACCAAAUACUGUAAUGAGCAAUUAUCUAUGGCACUCCAUGGCUCUCCAAACUAAUUAAUCUUUUUUUGUCAGAGCAAAUAAAUGCUAGUGGAUAGUAUAUAUUCUUUAUAGUGCAUAUUUCUAAGCAUAAAUUAAAUAGUCAAGUGUGCUAAUUUGACCCAUUUGUGAAGGGAGAAUACUAAAAUAUGGCAGUGUAAAAUCUCUGGAACUCACAAGAACCCAUUCAUUUCAAAGGCAGGGGAGGAUACUUGUUAAUUUCAUGCUCACAACUUUUUGAUGGAACACCUCAGGAAAAAAUGGCCCCAGAAUAAAAUGCUUUGUAACACUGACAAAGCAUAGAGCUGCUUUCUAAAAUAAUUUGUUGGGUAAAGCUUGUGCUGUAAAGGAGUGCCAGAAAGGAAUGCCCAUCAGAGAUAUACAUGAUUGCCAUAAUAAUCAUUAUAUUGGUUUACAGUAGAAUAAAUAAUGUUGGUCUGCGUCAUGGCUGGCUGGAAACCAACCUGUUUAUAUAUAUGAAGUGCUGAUGGAUGAGAGGAGAGUGAGCAUGCAGCCUCGAGGUAUCUCACAUAUGUACCAGACCCCUAAGAUCUUGCAAGCCAAUCGUGAUGACAGUCAUAAGCAAAAUGGGAGUUAGAAGGAAACUUUUCAAACCCUCUAUUAAACCCAUGACAGGACUUAAAGAGGUAAAAAGUGCUUAGACAAGACAAAAAAUGAUAAUUCCUUGGAAGACUGCUAUGGCUAAUGAUGUUUUGAACAACACAGCUGUGCUGGAAAUGGUGGGAGCUGAUAUCAGUGGUCUGUAACAAACAGUCAGUAAAACUGAAAGUUGAAUUCA